This is a long non-coding RNA of Austrofundulus limnaeus, 426 nucleotides long. RefSeq lists it as uncharacterized. The transcript is spliced from 3 exons. Lineage: Eukaryota; Metazoa; Chordata; Actinopteri; Cyprinodontiformes; Rivulidae. The record is from RefSeq and is a predicted model, not a curated record.
GAGGGAGGCAGUGGACCGUGGCGUAUUCCAGAGACAGGGGGUAACGACGGCUCGGUGAAUGGGGGGAUUAUGUCUGCCAAUCAGAGGGCUGGGAUGGGAGGCCUGUGUGUCAGGGAAACAAUGUCUAAUCCUUCCUAAGCAGCCUCCUCGGCAGCAGAAGGGGAGCUGGGUGAAAUCAGGAUGAAGGCACGACCAGGAGAGGCAGACACAACAGGCAGAGACUUUCAUUCUCCACAAACUGAAGGAAAAACAAGGUCGGUGACUACAAAGCGCUAUCCAUGGUGCUGAAAUGACUUCUCAUUGCAGAAACAAGACCACACGCUGCUUCUGUGUUGCAACAGGAUCCUUACCAGGAUCAUGUGACCGGUGGAGAUGUCCAUGUUGGCCGGCACGGGCUCCUCGCACCAGGAGGAGGUGCUGCUGCGC